UGAGGAAUAUUGGUCAAUGGACGAAAGCCUGAUGGAGCAACGCCGCGUGGGUGAAGAAGGUCUUCGGAUCGUAAAACCCUGUUGUUAGAGAAGAAAGUGCGUGAGAGUAACUGUUCACGUUUCGACGGUAUCUAACCAGAAAGCCACGGCUAACUACGUGCCAACAGCCGCGGUAAUACGUAGGUGGCAAGCGUUAUCCGGAUUUAUUGGGCGUAAAGGGAACGCAGGCGGUCUUUUAAGUCUGAUGUGAAAGCCUUCGGCUUAACCGGAGUAGUGCAUUGGAAACUGGGAGACUUGAGUGCAGAAGAGGAGAGUGGAACUCCAUGUGUAGCGGUGAAAUGCGUAGAUAUAUGGAAGAACACCAGUGGCGAAAGCGGCUCUCUGGUCUGUAACUGACGCUGAGGUUCGAAAGCGUGGGUAGCAAACAGG
RNAcentral lists this ribosomal RNA (429 nucleotides) under uncultured bacterium. Its description in RNAcentral is "bacterial SSU rRNA". It matches the Rfam family "Bacterial small subunit ribosomal RNA", at positions 355 to 776 of the family's 1533-position model. The record is from RNAcentral.